UAAAUACUUCCUCCGUCCGAAAAUAUUUGUCAUCAAAAUAAAUAAAAAAGGAUGUAUCCAGAUGUAUUUUAGUUCUACAUAUAUUCUUUGUUGUCCACUUUAAUGACAAGUAUUUUCGGACAAAGGGAGUAGUAU
Non-coding RNA from Triticum aestivum (bread wheat), 135 nucleotides. The record is from Rfam. NCBI's taxonomy places the organism in Eukaryota, Viridiplantae, Streptophyta, Magnoliopsida, Poales, Poaceae.